AGGAAUAUUGGACAAUGGAGGCAACUCUGAUCCAGCCAUGCCGCGUGAAGGAAUAAGGCCCUAUGGGUUGUAAACUUCUUUUAGACGGGACAAAACCCCUUUACGUGUAAAGGGUUGAUGGUACUGUCAGAAUAAGCAUCGGCUAACUUCGUGCCAGCAGCCGCGGUAAUACGAAGGAUGCAAGCGUUAUCCGGAAUUAUUGGGUUUAAAGGGUGCGUAGGCGGACUAAUAAGUCAGUGGUGAAAGCCUGCAGCUUAACUGCAGAAUUGCCAUUGAUACUGUUAGUCUUGAGUACAGUUGAGGUAGGCGGAAUGUGUCAUGUAGCGGUGAAAUGCUUAGAUAUGACACAGAACACCGAUUGCGAAGGCAGCUUGCUAAGCUGUAACUGACGCUGAGGCACGAAAGCGUGGGGA
RNAcentral lists this ribosomal RNA (413 nucleotides) under uncultured bacterium. Its description in RNAcentral is "bacterial SSU rRNA". It matches the Rfam family "Bacterial small subunit ribosomal RNA", at positions 357 to 767 of the family's 1533-position model. The record is from RNAcentral.